GCAUUCGUCGGCGCGACCCAACGAGUUUACAAGUAUCUCUGUCAAGUUCAUACUGCUCUCACAGGCUAAGGUCAAGUAACUGACUCUAACUGGUCUAACAACCAACAUGUUACGUGCCCUCGACACAAUCCGACGCCAAAACGGCGAUAUGGGUCCACCGUCAACCCCGACGGCACCCAACAGUCCGGAACAGCCUGAACGCUACUGAAAAAAAAAUCACUCGGUAUCCCAGCACGAGCGUAAAUGCAUUCUAAACUAUCUGGGGUAUCCGUCACCCCAAUCCUGUGACGAUAUAAAAAUACAACGGCUCCUAGAGCUAAAUCAGGUAGUUUAGGCAUAUGUCGAUCAUUAUCGCGUUUUCUCCUAAGUCAUUUCCAAGUCCCACAUGUAUAAACUAUUUAAUUUACUAUUUCAUGCUCCAAAUUCAGAUUUGCAGUUUACCUAAUAAUCCAUGAAUUCGAGCUAACAUAACUAUACAAAAAUCGGACAUUUACACAUGUUGACUACUACGCACUUAGGAGUAAAACCGAUGUAAACCCACCUCAAAGCUAAUCCCUGGCAACGAAGAAGUCACCUAAAUUCAGCCGAGCCCGCUCUCAACCAGCAAUCGUAACUCUCCAAUAAUCUGAACCACAAAAGCAUUAAACAUGUAUUAAUCUUUCAAAAUCAGCACUUAAGCUAAAUCCUUCUAGUACGAUGCAAACCUCACCUUCCGAAUCUCAAUCCUGGUGAUGCGAGGUUCCAAAUCCAGGGUGGGAUGGUGAUGUACAUAGCUCAGGUCCCAAUCCCAAUUCCCUUCAUGAUUUACACCAAAAGAAUCCAAGAAAACUCAAGUUCAGGUUCAGAUUCACAGCAGUGGAGUAAAACAGAGGUUCGACCCAGCUAACCUUCUUCAAAUCCAGCAAUCUUGGGCUCUGUAGUUUCCUCUUGAAGUCCCGAAUCCAGCGAACCAAGUUUCGCCGCGAUCCGAUGCUCCUACGUCGCGUACGAGCCGAAACACUGACGGUCGACGCUGAAAAUCAGUAAAAUCAGCACGCGAGCUCAAAACCGUGCGUUCAAGUUAUCCCAGGAGGAAAGUUAGAUACCCACCUCGACAGCGAAUCUAGCGCCGGUGCGACGUCGAGGACGGCGAAAACACCCACUCGCCCGGCCUCCUCGCGAUGUAAUGGCAGCAACCAUAUCCCCGGACGGCUCCGCGGCGCGACGUCCGCAACGAAAGCUCCAUCCGAGUUCCACCUAUUCGAUCAAUGCUAGAGAAAGAGAGAAGGAGAAGAGUAGCAAAGUAGCUCUCUCUCUCUCUGCUCCUAAACGUAUAAAGCAAGGGGUGGAAUAGGUGAUACAAACAAGGCAAGAUAAAAUUACUAAAAAACCCCUCACCUACUCAAGUGUACUGGUACACGGGCCUCUGUAUUGGUACACAUGCCAACCCGAGAGCAGUCUGCGCGCAACCUACUGAAGUGUACCGGUACACCUUGAUGGCUGUACCGGUACAGCAAGCAGAAAAACUGCUAUUUUGCAGAUUUCUUCGCGGAAAGCUGCCCUCGCGUGGCACGGAGUCCGUUUUGCCUCUAUUUGGCGCCAACGCGACUCAGACUUGUGCCAACACUCUACAGAGCCGUCGACAAGCCUCCACAGCAGAACACCAAGGAUCUCACAUCCUUACCCACUACAAAAAGUUUCGUCCGCGAAACUUAAGCAUACCUCAACUCAGGUCCACAAACAAAUAAGGAUAGGCCUCCCUCAUCAUCGUCUCAGGCUCCCAAGUCGCCUCCCGCUCUUUGUGAUUGCUCCACUGCACUUUCACAUGCGGGACGACCCUGUUGCGCAAUUCUUUCAUCUCUCGAGCAAGAAUCCGCAACGGUCGCUCCUCGUAUCUCAGAUCCCCGCUAAUCUCUAGUGGAGUGAAGUCGAUUACGUGAGUGGGAUCGAAAAUGUAUCUCCUCAAUGCUGAGACGUGGAAAAUAUCGUGGAUGCCAGCAAGUCACGGGGGUAGAGCUAUCCUGUAUGCAACCGGUACAACUCGCUCUAAUACCUCGAAAGGGCCAACAAACCGUGGACUGAACUUUCCACGUACCCCAAAUCAGCGAAUCCCUCUGGACGGCGAGACUUUGAGGAAAACAUGAACUCGGGUCCAAGUGUCCUCCUCUCACCCACAUCACUCCAAAAUAGAGGGGAUCGACAUCUGCAUUCAUACAACGCUUCAAACAGAGCCAUUAGAAUGCUCGUUUGAUAGUUGUUGUCGUACGCAAACUCAACUAGUCUCAUAUGUCGAUACCACACUCUUCCAAAAUCCAGGACGCAUGCCCUCAGCAUGUCCUCUAGAGUCUGUAUGGUCCCCUCUGACUAACCAUCUGUCUGUGGGUGGAACGCCGUGCUGAAAUGCAACUAAGUGCCCAAGGCUGUCUGUAGACUCCUUCAAAACUGAGAUACAAAUCUCGGGUCUCUGUCUGACACAACCGACACUGGCACACCGUGUAGCCUGACGAUCUCAUCCAGGUAUAGCUGUGCGAGUCUCUCUCUCUCGACCAGGUAGUCUGAACCGGUAGAAAGUGAGUAGAUUUGGUCAGUCUGUCCACUAUAACCCAGAUCGCGUCACAACCACUCUAUGCUCUAGGCAACCCCACGACGAAGUCCAUCGUAAUCUACUCCCACUUCCACUCGGGCACUGGCAGACUCUGAAGCUUGCCAGCAGGUACCUGAUGCUCAGCCUUCACCUGUUGGCAAGUCAGACACUGAGCCACAUAUCUGCCAAUGUCUCUCUUCAUUCCAUGCCACCAGAACCGUGCCUUAAGAUCCUUAUAUAUCUUGGUUCCCCCAGGGUGAACCGUAUAAGGAGAACAAUGAGCUUCUCUCAGAAUGUCCGCUCGGAUCUCAGAAUCCACGGGCACACACAGCCGGUCCCUGUACCGUAGUACUCCCGAACUGUCCAAAGCAAAACCCUCAGCCUGCCCCCUGUCUAGCUGCUCUCUAAUCCUCAACAAGUACGGAUCUCCACUCUGUUUCUCUCGGAUCCUAUCCAAUAGAGUGUGCUAUAAAACUAGAGACGUCAGCCUCGCCGUAGACCCAGGGGGUACUAUUUCGAGUCCCAGCCGCUGUAGCUCCUCGAGUAGGGGUCGCUGCUCAGUGAUUGUCAAACUCAGGCUCUGCACUGACUUCCUGCUCAACGCAUCUGNCGGUCCCUGUACCGUAGUACUCCCGAACUGUCCAAAGCAAAACCCUCAGCCUGCCCCCUGUCUAGCUGCUCUCUAAUCCUCAACAAGUACGGAUCUCCACUCUGUUUCUCUCGGAUCCUAUCCAAUAGAGUGUGCUAUAAAACUAGAGACGUCAGCCUCGCCGUAGACCCAGGGGGUACUAUUUCGAGUCCCAGCCGCUGCAGCUCCUCGAGUAGGGGUCGCUGCUCAGUGAUUGUCAAACUCAGGCUCUGCACUGACUUCCUGCUCAACGCAUCUGCAACAACAUUCGCCCUGCCGGGGUGAUACUGAAUACUAAUGUCAUAGUCCUUCAGUAACUCCAACCACCGGCGCUGCCUCAGGUUCAGCUCCCUUUGUGUGAACAGAUACUUGAGACUUUUAUGAUCGGUGAAAACCUCGCAGUGCUCGCCGUACAAGUAAUGCCGCCAGAGCUUCAAAGCAAAAACCACCGCGGCCGGCUCCAAGUCAUGCGUAGGGUAAUUCUUCUCAUAAUCCUUUAACUGCCGUGAAGCAUAAGCAAUUACCCUACCAUGCUGCAUUAGCACACAGCCAAGUCCACUGUGUGAUGCAUCACUAUAGAUCACGAAUCUAUACCCCAUCACCAGAAGGGCAAGGAUAGGAGCCGACGUCAACCUCAGUCUCAACUCGUCAAAGCUCCUCUGACAGUCGUCGCUCUAGACAACACGAAUCCCCUUCCGCGUCAAGCGAGUGAGGGGUGUGGAAUGCUUCGCAAAGCCUUCCACAAACCAACGGUAAUAUCCUGCCAGUCCCAGGAAACUCCGCACCUCCGUCACCGUCGUCGGUCUAGGCCAAUCUCGAAUCGCCUCAAUCUUCUUCGGGUCCACUGCUACUUCCUCAGCUGAAAUCACGUGGCCCAAGAAAGCAACCUUCCGUAACCAGAACUCGCACUUCUUUAAUUUGGCAUACAACUCCUUCUCUCGCAGAAGCUGUAGCACAAUCCUCAAGUGCUCCUCAUGCUCAGCAUCACUCCGGGAGUAAAUCAGAAUGUCGUCGAUGAAGACUACCACAAACCUAUCCAAGAACGGCUUGAACACUCUACUCAUCAAAUCCAUGAAUGCGACAGGGGCAUUCGUCAAUCCAAAAGGCAUCACUGUAAACCCAUAAUGCCUGUACCGAGUCCGAAAAGCCGUCUUAGGAACAUUCUCGGCCCUCACUGUCACGCCCCGGAUUACACUUUCUCCGGGCGCGCCGACAAAUCCGCCCUAUACAAAGGAAUUUCCCCUGUAUACGAAGCGAUAGCUGUACCUGUAAAACAAACACUACUACGAACAGUAGUAGAGAGCUGCUAGAGAAAACAGAAGCUAACAAACUGAGUUUCAUAUACAUAGUCCAGAUCCAAAAUACAAAGCUACUCGCACUGGCGAGUUAAGUCCACUAUGUACAUAAACUCGAAACAAAACAUCUACCUGCAGUAGGGGCACCUCUAGCUCAGCACGUCGGGUAGGGCUCUAACUUGCGACGCCCUUGCCUCGAUCCUGAUCCGCGGAAGGCGCAGCAGCCGAAACCUGUGGCUCUGCAAAACAGGGGGUAACAACUGGGCGUGAGAACUACUGUAAAAACAAGUAGUCCUCAGUGGGUACUGCCCAAAAUAAUAUCGGUCCACCCACUAAGCCUACAGAAGGGAACAGGAAUAGUAGUAAAAUGCAGGAAUAAAGUCUACCGCUAUCAAACACUACACUAUCAUGCUCUACACUAACCAACUGUAGAAAAUAUCCAACCUGACCCAAUCCAAUCGGGACUGUAAGCAUACCCGUCCCCGGGACUGUGAAUACACCCGUCCCUGCCCCGUUGCGACUAUCAAGCUCUAUCCACACUAACUGGUCCGUGGAGAGCAAGUCCAACUGGCAUGAGCGACACCAACGCGAAAGCACAAAGCCCAACUCCGGAGUGGCACUCGUGGGCGCUACCCAACCGAGUAUGCAGCGUAUCUCUGUCGAACUCAAUCAGGCUACAACUAGCCAAACUCAAGUGAACAGGGUCAAAACAGGUCUACAAACCAAACCCACGUGCCCUCGGCACAAUCUGUGACCAAAACAAGAAUCUGGGUCCACCGUUAUCCCGAACGGCACCCAACGACCCGAAACAGCCUAUACUCUGCUGAAAAAUAAGCUCGGCACCCCAGCACGAGCGUAAAUGCCUUCUAAACUACCCCAGAUAUCCAUCGCACUAAUACUGCAACGAUACAAUCGAAUCACGGCUACUAGAGCUAAAUCUGGUAGUUUAAGCAUAUGACGGGUCAAAAUGCAGGUUUUCUCCUAAGUCAAAUUUCAAGUCCAACAUGUAUAAUUUAAAUAUUCAUUUCAGCAUGCUUCUACAUUCAUAUUACAUUCAAGAUGCUAAUCGAUGAAUUAAAGCAUGAUAUACAAAAAUCGAACUAUACACGUCGACUAAACAUGCACUUAGGAGCGAAACCGAUGAUACACCCAUCUCGAGAGCAAAUUCCUGGCAGCACGGAACUCCCUCGGCUGCGGCACAACCUGCUGGAUCGACUGGAAAUGUCCGAGUCUCAAAAUUAAGCUAUCUCCAAGCUAUCAACAUCAAAAUCCACAAUUCAGUCCAAAUACACAGCAGCAGAGAAGAGAAGGGUUUCGACCAAGCUAACCUUCACCAAAAUCCACAAGUAAGGACUUCGUGGAUUUCUCUCGCAGUCCCGAAACCAACGAAUCAAGUCUUGUCGAAAUCCGAUGAUCCUACGUCGAGUACGAGCUGAAAUACUAACAGUCGACGAUGAAGUUCAGCAAAACAACACUUAAGCUUAAAUAUCCCAAUUCCAAUGUCAAAACUCACCUAAUGAACUCCAAAUCAGGUGAAGAGGGUCCCAAUUCCAGUACUGGGUGAUAGGGAAGGUGACUCAACUCCACAAAGCCCCUGCUUCCAAAGUUCACCCCAAAAAGAACACAAAAACUUACAAUUCUGUCCACAGCAACAACAGCAGAGGAAAACCUGAGUUCGACUAAGCUAACCUCAACUAAAAUCUGCAAUUUAGGGCUUCGUGGAUUCCUCUGGAAGUCAAGAAUCCAGAAAACCAAGUUUCGUCAAAAUCCGACCUUCCUACGUCGCGCACGAGCCAAAACACUGGAGGUCGUCGCUGAAGAACUGCAGAAUCAGCACUCCAUUAAGCUGGAUCAUGGAAGUUUGAUGCAAUUUGAGGCAAAUCCGAGGGUAGAGAUGCUAAAAGAGGCUUCUCUGUGAAGAAGGGAGGAAAAGAGCUCCCCAGGGACACUUCUCAGCUAUUUAUAGGGUGAAAAUAGGAUCAGAUGGACCUCAAGAACAAAGCUUGCAAUCUGCUGUCCCCGCAGAAACAGGCGUUUCUGGGCGCCCGGAACCAUGUUCUGGGCGACCAGAACAUCCCGACUGCACAAACCGGGCUCCUCGGACUCUCCGCUCGCGGUGUGCUGCGCCCGUAAAUGGCUCCGGCGGAACUCACCUACCGCCCUGCCACGCGUCGAAGCAAGCGAUAUUCACGAUGUCGAAUUUCCGGACCCACAUCUGGGCGCCCGGAACAUGGGAUCCGAAUUGGCUUCCAGUUUUAGUUAAAUUCAACACUCGUUUCUGGGCGACCCUAACAAUGUUCUGGGCGCCCGAAUCUGGCAAAACUCCAGUUUUGCUUAUUUGAGUGCGCCGAGUCCAAUUCUGCAUCCAAUUCGUGCAGAAUUGCCUCCGACUCAGUCCGACACUCUCCAGAGAUGUCGACCAGUCUAUAAUACUGAAGCCAAUCCUAUCCAAAGCUCAGGAACACUACACUCACCUUUAGCUGGUGGUAACCUGACUGGAGAUUAAUCUUUGAAAAGACACAAGAUCCUUGCAGCUGAUCAAACAGAUCAUCAAUGCGCGGCAAGGGAUACUUAUUCUUGAUGGUCACUUUAUUCAGCUCCCUAUAAUCCACACACAGUCUAAGUGACCCAUCCUUCUUCUUCACAAACAACACUGGCGCUCCCCAAGGCGACACACUGGAUCUCACAAACCCUCUACCCAUCAAAUCUUGAAGCUGUGCCUUUAGCUCUCUCAGCUCUGCCGGCGCCAUCCGAUAAGGUACCUUCGAGAUUGGUGCAGUUUCAGGAACUACAUCAAUCACAAACUCAAUCUCCCUCUCCGGCGGCAACGACAUCAACUCAGGGGGGAAAUACAUCCGGAAACUCGCAGACUACAGGGAUAUCCUCGAGUUCCGGCGCCGCCGUAGGUACCUCCACAACUGUCGUUAGGAAAGCGAUACACCCACUACUCAGCAUCUGUCGAGCCCUCGCUGAAGAUAUCCAUGUAGCAACCAACGUGCUCCUGCAGCCUCUAAAGUGAACUCCUCCCGGCCUGGCUUGCGGAACGUCAUCGUCCUCACUUCACAGUCGAUAGUAGCCUAGUACCGCGUCCGUCAAUCCAUACCGAGUACGACGUCGAAGUCCUGCAGCUGCCCUAACACCAACAGGUCUACGGCAAAAUCCAAGAAUCUAGCUACACCGGACAAGACCAACCACACUCCGCAACCUAUAACACAUAGUCGGGGAUCUGCACCUCUCGUGCCAAAAAUAAUGACCCUAACUCUAGACCAUGCAACAAUGCAAAUGCUCGGCUCACAAAAGAAUGGGAGGCAUCAGUAUCAACUAAAGUAUAAGUACAUAUGCCGAAAAUUAAAAUAAUACCUGCCACCAUACGGUCGGCUGCUGAAGAGUCCUCCUGGCGGUAGCUCGGUGGUGCUCCAAAAGCCUGCUGGUCAGCUGGCUGCGCUGAUGCCAUGGAUAGUGCUGGUAAUGUCGCUCUAGGACACGCUGACCUCACAUGUCCUAGCUGUCCACAAGUGUAGCAGCGGCCCUCUUUCUGCUCACACUGUCUGGGCCAGUGUGGUCCCCCACAAAUCACGCACCACAGUGUCCUCGGUGACGGUCCUUGCUGAAGCGAUCUCCUGGAAUGCUGACGCCCUGAUGAACCACGACCCUGAGAGCCAGAUCGAGAAAACCUCAGCAGACGUCUGCUACUUGUCUGUCCUCCAUCAUUUGGAAAAGGGCGCUUCCUAUCCUGGCUUUGCCCUGGUGCCGUAAUCCGCUCCUGGACGGUGUAACUCCGUGUCCCACCCAGAGUGCCUGCUGCACAGAUGCUCCUGUCUCAACGCCCGACCGCUGAGUGAUAAUCUCAUAAAUCCUCUACAACAAUACACUCUGCUGCUUGAUCACCUCUGUCAGGGCAGCCAAUUGCUCUCUCAAAUCAGGGGGUGCACUCGCCUCCGGUCGUGCACUCGGCUCUGCUUGGUUAGGCAUCUCUAGUGUUGCGACUCGAUCCCUGGUCGACGGUCAACCUCGGCAGCGAUCUGAAAGAAAAAGAACGGGGUCAGAUACCACUCAAACACUCUCGACCCAAUCAACGAAAGUCUGGAAAGCAGCCCAUAUUUUCCUCUAAAAUUAUGUUGUCUGUAGCCAACAUAAUUUCUCAGGCCAAAACAGGUACUCUUUCAAUCACUCACUCCACUCUCGGAGGAGUUAAAACAACUAAUCAUUGACUUUCGCAAUUAAAUUACGCCUCUCGCGUCUUACUUUCCUAAGGUUUGCCAAACUUAGGUUUUCUAGGUCCCAACGACCUAAUGCUAAUCUCUAAUACCAACUUAAUCUGUCACGCCCCGGAUGUCUCGUUUUCCGGGAACGCCGACAAAUCCGCCGUAUACAAAAAUUUUUUUUCUGUAUACGAAGCGACAGCUGUACCUGUAAAUAUACAAUACUACAAACAGUAGUAUAGAGCUGCUCAAGGAAACAGAACCAAAACAAACUGAGUUUCAUAUACAUAGCUCAAAAACCAAAAUGCUGAGUUACUCGCACUAGCGAGUUAAGUAUACUAUGUACAUAAACUUAAAAUAAAACAACUACCUGCAGUAGGGUGCCUCUAGCUCUGUUCGUCGGGUAGGGCUCUAACUCGCGACGCCCUUGCCUCGAUCCUGAUCUGCGGAAGGCGCAGCAGCCGAAACCUGUGGCUCUGCAAAACAGGGGUAACAACUGGGCGUGAGAACUACUGUAAAAACAAGUAGUCCUCAGUGGGUGCCGCCCAAAACAAUAUCGGUCCACCCACUAAGUCUACAGUAGGGAGCAAAGGUAAUAGGAAAAGCUGGAAAGAAAUCUACAGCUACAUAUCGCUACACUAGCAUGAUCUACACUAACCAACUGUAGUAAAAGUCACAACUGCCCCAAUCUCACUAGGGACUGUGAACACACCCGUCCCGCCUGUCGGAUCGAAUCCGUAACCUACUCCAAGAGUAGCUGGUGGAGAAAACUCUCUAGGGACUGUGAAUACACCCAUCCCGUCUAAUUAGGCGACACCGUAGCUCAAGAGUAACCGGCGGAGAAAACUCUCUAAAGACUGUGAAUACACCCGUCUCGUCUACUAGACUACACUGUAUCUCAAGAGUAACCGGCGGAGAAAACUCUCUAAAGACUGUGAAUACACCCGUCUCGCCUAAUUAGACUACAUCGUAUCUCGAGAGUAGUCGGUUCCAGAAAGGGUCCAACCGGACGGCUAAGACUCCACUCACGCCACAACCUUACUAAAGGUAGGGAAAAGAGUCACUUACUACCUCACCCGGGCUGCCCAAAACGGACCCACCCUGCCUGUAUCUAGCCGCGCCGUACACGACCGCGAGGGUAGCCGGCUCAAGAACUGUCCAACAUAAAUUGCGACACUCAUCGCACUGAAACCUCAUUCCGGAAUGGCAUUCGUGCGUGCGACCCAACGAGUUUACAAGUAUCUCUGUCAAGUUCAUACUGCUCUCACAAGCUAAGGUCAAGUAACCGACUCUAACUGGUCUAACAACCAACAUGCCACGUGCCCUCGACACAAUCCGACGCCAAAACGGCGAUAUGGGUCCACCGUCAACCCCGACGGCACCCAACAGUCCGGAACAGCCUGAACGCUACUGAAAAAAAAUCACUCGGUAUCCUAGCACGAGCGUAAAUGCAUUCUAAACUAUCUGGGGUAUCCGUCACCCCAAUCCUGUGACGAUAUAAAAAUACAACGGCUCCUAGAGCUAAAUCAGAUAGUUUAGGCAUAUGUCGAUCAUUAUCGCGUUUUCUCCUAAGUCAUUUCCAAGUCCCACAUGUAUAAACUAUUUAAUUUACUAUUUCAUGCUCCAAAUUCAGAUUUGCAGUUUACCUAAUAAUCCAUGAAUUCGAGCUA
RNAcentral lists this long non-coding RNA (10358 nucleotides) under Ananas comosus (pineapple). RNAcentral describes it as "long non-coding RNA (ACOM_LNC005132)". Lineage: Eukaryota; Viridiplantae; Streptophyta; Magnoliopsida; Poales; Bromeliaceae. The record is from RNAcentral.